RNAcentral lists this ribosomal RNA (492 nucleotides) under uncultured bacterium. Its description in RNAcentral is "partial 16S ribosomal RNA". It matches the Rfam family "Bacterial small subunit ribosomal RNA", at positions 29 to 507 of the family's 1533-position model. The record is from RNAcentral.
AGUGAACGCUGGCGGUAGGCCUAACACAUGCAAGUCGAACGGCAGCACAGUAAGAGCUUGCUCUUACGGGUGGCGAGUGGCGGACGGGUGAGGAAUACAUCGGAAUCUACUUUUUCGUGGGGGAUAACGUAGGGAAACUUACGCUAAUACCGCAUACGACCUACGGGUGAAAGCAGGGGAUCUUCGGACCUUGCGCGAUUGAAUGAGCCGAUGUCGGAUUAGCUAGUUGGCGGGGUAAAGGCCCACCAAGGCGACGAUCCGUAGCUGGUCUGAGAGGAUGAUCAGCCACACUGGAACUGGGACACGGUCCAGACUCCUACGGGAGGCAGCAGUGGGGAAUAUUGGACAAUGGGCGCAAGCCUGAUCCAGCCAUACCGCGUGGGUGAAGAAGGCCUUCGGGUUGUAAAGCCCUUUUGUUGGGAAGGAAAAGCAGCAGGUUAAUACCCCGCUGUCCUGACGGUACCCAAAGAAUAAGCACCGGCUAACUUCGUG